This 253-nucleotide ribosomal RNA is filed under the name uncultured prokaryote. Its description in RNAcentral is "partial 16S ribosomal RNA". It matches the Rfam family "Bacterial small subunit ribosomal RNA", at positions 525 to 777 of the family's 1533-position model. The record is from RNAcentral.
ACGGAGGGAGCUAGCGUUGUUCGGAAAUACUGGGCGUAAAGCGCACGUAGGCGGCGCAGCAAGUCAGGGGUGAAAUCCCGGGGCUCAACCCCGGAACUGCCCUUGAAACUGCAGUGCUAGAAUCUUGGAGAGGCGAGUGGAAUUCCGAGUGUAGAGGUGAAAUUCGUAGAUAUUCGGAAGAACACCAGUGGCGAAGGCGACUCGCUGGACAAGUAUUGACGCUGAGGUGCGAAAGCGUGGGGAGCAAACAGGA